This 103-nucleotide microRNA precursor is filed under the name Pelobates cultripes (western spadefoot toad). The record is from RNAcentral. Lineage: Eukaryota; Metazoa; Chordata; Amphibia; Anura; Pelobatidae.
CUUCUCUUCCUCUCUUCUCAUAACUCUCGCGAGACCCGGUUGCCAUGGCAACACUCCGCGGGUCUCGCGAGAGUUAUGAGAAGAGAGGAGGAGAAGCUGUGUG